CGCUGGGCGGCGUGCCUAAUACAUGCAAGUCGAACGCACAGCGAUAGGUGCUUGCACCUAUCAAGUGAGUGGCGAACGGGUGAGUAACACGUGGACAACCUGCCUCAAGGCUGGGGAUAACAUUUGGAAACAGAUGCUAAUACCGAAUAAAACUUAGUGUCGCAUGACACCAGGUUAAAAGGCGCUACGGCGUCACCUAGAGAUGGAUCCGCGGUGCAUUAGUUAGUUGGUGAGGUAAAGGCUCACCAAGACAAUGAUGCAUAGCCGAGUUGAGAGACUGAUCGGCCACAUUGGGACUGAGACACGGCCCAAACUCCUACGGGAGGCUGCAGUAGGGAAUCUUCCACAAUGGGCGCAAGCCUGAUGGAGCAACGCCGCGUGUGUGAUGAAGGCUUUCGGGUCGUAAAGCACUGUUGUAUGGGAAGAACAGCUAGAAUAGGGAAUGAUUUUAGUGUGACGGUACCAUACCAGAAAGGGACGGCUAAAUACGUG
RNAcentral lists this ribosomal RNA (492 nucleotides) under uncultured bacterium. Its description in RNAcentral is "bacterial SSU rRNA". It matches the Rfam family "Bacterial small subunit ribosomal RNA", at positions 38 to 507 of the family's 1533-position model. The record is from RNAcentral.